AGUGAACGCUGGCGGUAGGCCUAACACAUGCAAGUCGAACGGCAGCACAGUAAGAGCUUGCUCUUACGGGUGGCGAGUGGCGGACGGGUGAGGAAUACAUCGGAAUCUACUUUUUCGUGGGGGAUAACGUAGGGAAACUUACGCUAAUACCGCAUACGACCUACGGGUGAAAGCAGGGGAUCUUCGGACCUUGCGCGAUUGAAUGAGCCGAUGUCGGAUUAGCUAGUUGGCGGGGUAAAGGCCCACCAAGGCGACGAUCCGUAGCUGGUCUGAGAGGAUGAUCAGCCGCACUGGAACUGAGACACGGUCCAGACUCCUACGGGAGGCAGCAGUGGGGAAUAUUGGACAAUGGGCGCAAGCCUGAUCCAGCCAUACCGCGUGGGUGAAGAAGGCCUUCGGGUUGUAAAGCCCUUUUGUUGGGAAAGAAAAGCAGCAGGUUAAUACCCCGCUGUUCUGACGGUACCGAAAGAAUAAGCACCGGCUAACUUCGUG
This 492-nucleotide ribosomal RNA is filed under the name uncultured bacterium. Its description in RNAcentral is "partial 16S ribosomal RNA". It matches the Rfam family "Bacterial small subunit ribosomal RNA", at positions 29 to 507 of the family's 1533-position model. The record is from RNAcentral.